GGAGUGAGAGGGGAUGAUCUGCAACACAUGGCCCAACGGGAAUCAAACCUUUGUUGCUGCGAUAACAAUAUGUGGUACGGGCUAAACCAGGUGUGAUUACGACUACCAGCGGUUGUACUUCAGAUGGACCUCAUCACCCUCUUUGCUGUCCUACUAGUGUAACCUUAUGAUCGGAUACAUACAAGUGUUGUCAAGGAUAAACAGAGAUCAUGCUAGCCCACAGCGAACACCAGAUUGACUUGUGAGUCUUCAAGCAGAAAUUAUGACAACACCUGCCUAAAGUUCCAGUUUCCUGAACAGCAUACCCUGUCUGUAUGAGACUCUGUCCCACCUGUCUUCAGUCAAGUCUGGACCCAAUGACUCAGACACCAGUCUUGUCAAGGCUAAUUAGAGAGAGGAUCAUUCCAGUCCACAGUGAAUACCUGAUGGUCAACAUACGAGUCCUCAAGCAGAACUGGUGAAAAUACACGCUUCAAGUUCCAGCUUCCUGAACUUCAUGUCCAUGUGAGACGCUAUACCAUGUUGAGUGCCCUCUUCAGUCAAGUCUGGACUCAGUGACUCAUUACUCUUGAUCAACUCAGGGCAAGUGGCUAAUCCUUUCAUGUUUAUUCAUGGUUAUCCUUCAUAUAUAUGGACACAUGCUGUUUCUUCAAGAUCUCAACACUGCUUUGUGAGUAUAUUGUACAAGAUAUUGUAUCAGUUCAACCUGUUUUUCACAGAGAAUGUUAGUUUCUUAAGGUAUAUCAAUGAUGGUCUGUACCUUGAUUUACAAUAUGCUUUAUUUGAUAUUUCCUUUGUAAUUUACAAUAAUCAGAAGUUGACUGAAAUCUAUGCCAACCAAUUGUAUUACAUUCUACGUUGUACCGUAUUUUUGUACCGUGAUGUCUUAUACAUUGUCACUAUAUUUUUUAUGGUAAAGUUCUGGCAACCACAGCUGCCGGUA
Anarrhichthys ocellatus (wolf-eel) is the source of this 943-nucleotide long non-coding RNA. RefSeq lists it as uncharacterized. The record is from RefSeq and is a predicted model, not a curated record. Lineage: Eukaryota; Metazoa; Chordata; Actinopteri; Perciformes; Anarhichadidae. The transcript has 4 exons.